Molecule: ribosomal RNA, 274 nt
Filed under: uncultured bacterium
Lineage: Bacteria
Description: partial 16S ribosomal RNA
Rfam family: Bacterial small subunit ribosomal RNA
Source: RNAcentral
AUACGGAGGGUGCAAGCGUUACUCGGAAUCACUGGGCGUAAAGCGCGCGCAGGCGGCUUGAUAAGUUGGAUGUGAAAGCCUACGGCUCAACCGUAGAACUGCAUCCAAAACUGUCAGGCUAGAGUGUGGGAGAGGAAGAUGGAAUUAGUUGUGUAGGGGUAAGAUCCGUAGAGAUAACUAGGAAUACCAAAAGCGAAGGCAAUCUUCUGGAACACUACUGACGCUGAGGCGCGAAGGCGUGGGGAGCAAACAGGAUUAGAAACCCGAGUAGUCC